UACGUAGGGGGCAAGCGUUGUCCGGAAUCAUUGGGCGUAAAGCGCGCGUAGGCGGCCCGAUAAGUCCGCUGUAAAAGUCCAGGGCUUAACCCUGGAAAGCCGGUGGAUACUGUCGGGCUAGAGUCCGGAAGAGGCGAGUGGAAUUCCUGGUGUAGCGGUGGAAUGCGCAGAUAUCAGGAGGAACACCGAUGGCGAAGGCAGCUCUCUGGAACGCAACUGACGCUGAGACGCGAAAGCGUGGGGAGCAAACAGG
This 253-nucleotide ribosomal RNA is filed under the name uncultured bacterium. RNAcentral's name for it is "partial 16S ribosomal RNA". It matches the Rfam family "Bacterial small subunit ribosomal RNA", at positions 524 to 776 of the family's 1533-position model. The record is from RNAcentral.